AGUCGAGGGGUAACAGGGUUUUCGGACCGCUGACGACCGGCGCACGGGUGCGUAACGCGUAUGCAACCUACCUUUAACUGGAGGAUAGCCCCGAGAAAUCGGGAUUAAUACUCCAUAGUAAUGAGAUUCGGCAUCGUUUUUCAUUUAAAGCUCCGGCGGUUAAAGAUGGCAUGCGUGACAUUAGUUAGUUGGUGAGGUAACGGCUCACCAAGACUACGAUGCCUAGGGGUUCUGAGAGGAUGAUCCCCCACACUGGUACUGAGACACGGACCAGACUCCUACGGGAGGCAGCAGUGAGGAAUAUUGGUCAAUGGACGCAAGUCUGAACCAGCCAUGCCGCGUGCAGGAUGACGGCCCUAUGGGUUGUAAACUGCUUUUAUUAAGGAAUAACUCCCCGGUCGAGCAUCGGGGCUGAACGUACUUAAAGAAUAAGCAUCGGCUAACUCCGUGCCAGCAGCCGCGGUAAUACGGAGGAUGCAAGCGUUAUCCGGAUUCAUUGGGUUUAAAGGGUUCGCAGGCGGCGUAUUAAGUCAGUGGUGAAAUCCCUCGGCUCAACCGAGGAACUGCCAUUGAUACUGGUAUGCUAGAGUAUAGUUGGCGUAGGCGGAAUAUUUCAUGUAGCGGUGAAAUGCUUAGAUAUGAAAUAGAACACCGAUCGCGAAGGCAGCUUACGAAGCUAUAACUGACGCUCAGGAACGAAAGCGUGGGGAGCGAACAGGAUUAGAUACCCUGGUAGUCCACGCUGUAAACGAUGAUUACUCGUUGUCGGCGAUACACUGUCGGCGGCUAAGCGAAAGUGAUAAGUAAUCCACCUGGGGAGUACGAUCGCAAGGUUGAAACUCAAAGGAAUUGACGGGGGCCCGCACAAGCGGAGGAGCAUGUGGUUUAAUUCGAUGAUACGCGAGGAACCUUACCUGGGCCUAAAUGUAGAGUGCAUGAGUGGGAAACCAUUCUUUCCUUUCGGGACUCUUUACAAGGUGCUGCAU
Molecule: ribosomal RNA, 986 nt
Filed under: uncultured bacterium
Lineage: Bacteria
Description: bacterial SSU rRNA
Rfam family: Bacterial small subunit ribosomal RNA
Source: RNAcentral